UACGGAGGGUGCAAGCAUUGAUCGGAAUUACUGGGCGUAAAGGGCGCGUAGGCGGCUUGAUAAGUCAGAUGUGAAAUACCACAGCUCAACUGUGGUGCUGCAUUUGAAACUGUCUGGCUCGAGCAUAGUUAGGGAAAACGGAAUUCCACAUGUAGCGGUGAAAUGCGUAGAUAUGUGGAGGAACACCGGUGGUGAAGACGGUUUUCUGGGCUAUAGCUGACGCUGAGGCGCGAAAGCUAGGGGAGCAAACAGG
This 253-nucleotide ribosomal RNA is filed under the name uncultured bacterium. RNAcentral's name for it is "partial 16S ribosomal RNA". It matches the Rfam family "Bacterial small subunit ribosomal RNA", at positions 524 to 776 of the family's 1533-position model. The record is from RNAcentral.